Long non-coding RNA from Capsicum annuum, 1800 nucleotides. RefSeq lists it as uncharacterized. Lineage: Eukaryota; Viridiplantae; Streptophyta; Magnoliopsida; Solanales; Solanaceae. The record is from RefSeq and is a predicted model, not a curated record. The transcript is spliced from 2 exons.
AGAUACUCUAUCCUAAUGUGUAUCAUAUACUUGAAUGUCACACAAAUGUGAAACAACUAAACACAGAGACAAGGCUUAAACAGAUACCCAAAUAUACACGCAGAUAUAAGUAUCAUAGGCUUAAUGUAUUUGAUAAGCCAAAACAUAGAUACAUAGACAAGAUACACACAUGCUAAUUUGUAUUAUAGUUCAAUAUUAGAGAUACAAUAUAAUACACUGAUACAGAGAGAGAGGCAACUUUUAUGAGGCUCUUGCCUCUUAGUGAGUGUGAUACACUGUAUUAUGAAUAUAAAGUAGCGGUAUGUAAUGUACAUAUUGAAAGUGCCGUUGCAUAUGAUAAUUCAGGGAUUAUGUCUCAAUUAUAUGGCCCACUUUUGUUUUUAGUCAGUUCUAAAAAGAAUGAGAUAUUUCUAUAUUUACUAAUAAUUUAAACUUUAAAAUGUAAGGUUUAUAGUUCCACAAACUUAAGAUUUAAUUUAGAUCACAAAUUUUAAAGUAUUUCUCUAUUUUCUAAACUCCGUAUUCAAUCAAAGCUAAUUAAUUACGGAGUCAAUUUGCAGCAGGUGCUGGAAUCCAGGGUCCCUUUAUUCAAUAAAAGAAUACAGUAUACAAAUGGUGGAAUGGUAAAUGUUGCUCUAAGCUCAGACCUUUGUUUAUUUCUUUACCUGCUUUUAUUUUGUGACAGAUUUAGAAGAGGAGAAACACAAUCAAAUAUGGUGGUUGAAUAUCAUUUAAUAUCAUGAAUAGGAAUAUUUAUCUUUUUGCUAAAGUCAGGUAUCCAUGGUUGAAAAACCUUCCUAAUAAUUGGCCAAUGAUGGUGAUGAUGCUGGAAGCCUACAAACCGCUUAUACAGACAAUUAUGGUGAAUUGGAGAGCUCUUGAUAAUGGUUUUUUAAGAGUAAUUCUGAUGGGGCUUCUAAAGGAUAUCAAUGUAAAGAAUUUACAUCUUUACAGGAUAUUACAAAGGAGGCAAAGGCAAUUCUUGAGUUAGAAAAACAACACAAGCCAACAAUUAAAGUGAUUAAGGGCCAAAACAAGAACUUUCACAUAUGAAGUCAAUCAAGGAAAAGGAAAAGUAGAAUCAAGGGAUCAAAGAGCAACAUAUUUACAAGAGUAUCAGUGAUAAAUGCACGUUCACACAAAAGACACCACCAAAACCGACUUAAAUCAAGACAUCAAGUUUUGAUUUCAUCAACAACACAUGCAAAAUAAUUCAUUAAUAUGAAUCAGUCAAGGUUAACAAGUUACCUCUCUUUUUGUGACUCAAAUCAGCUAACUAGUACCUUUAGUCCGUGGUAUCAGCUCCUUAUUGAGCUCAAUCUGGCAAAUGAGGGUUACUUGAUUUGGAUUCAAAAGGAGGGAUGCAAAUGAAGAUUAGGUGGAUAGUCUCGUACCUGAGGAAUAUCAAUCAGAUGUAGUCUAAGAAGAGUUGAAGAAGUCUUCCUAUGAAGUGAUUUCAUGGCAUUUGUGAAAUGAUGUAAAUGCCCGAGAUGAAAUCGCCCAUGACUCACCUACUGACUAAUGUGAAAUGAGGUUUCUAAGUUGGAGAUACCUUCACCGGACCGGUCAAUGGAGCAUUCAUCAGCCAUGGUUGAUUUGUGAAGAAGAAGACGGAAAGCAAGGUGUUCUGGAUGCUUCCAUUGACUUUUUUAAUUUGGUCUUUUUGAUUUUAUUAUUUUUGUGUUUAUUUGUCAUUUUAAGUUUCCUUUUACUUUCCAAGUUUGAAUUGGGCCAUCAAAAUUGGAUUUGGUUAUUUGUAUAGCUAUUUCAAUUUUAUUAAUAGAAGCCUCUCUAUGCCCA